This 508-nucleotide ribosomal RNA is filed under the name uncultured bacterium. RNAcentral describes it as "partial 16S ribosomal RNA". It matches the Rfam family "Bacterial small subunit ribosomal RNA", at positions 28 to 507 of the family's 1533-position model. The record is from RNAcentral.
GACGAACGCUGGCGGCGUGCCUAAUACAUGCAGGUCGAACGCUUCUUUCCUCCCGAUUGCUUGCACUCAAUUGGAAAGAGGAGUAGCGGACGGGUGAGUAACACGUGGGUAACCUACCCAUCAGAGGGGGAUAACACUUGGAAACAGGUGCUAAUACCGCAUAACAGUUUAUGCCGCAUGGCAUAAGAGUGAAAGGCGCUUUCGGGUGUCGCUGAUGGAUGGACUCGCGGUGCAUUAGCUAGUUGGUAAGGUAACGGCUCACCAAGGCCACGAUGCAUAGCCGACCUGAGAGGGUGAUCGGCCACACUGGGACUGAGACACGGCCCAGACUCCUACGGGAGGCAGCAGUAGGGAAUCUUCGGCAAUGGACGAAAGUCUGACCGAGCAACGCCGCGUGAGUGAAGAAGGUUUUCGGAUCGUAAAACUCUGUUGUUAGAGAAGAACAAGGACGUUAGUAACUGAACGUCCCCUGACGGUAUCUAACCAGAAAGCCACGGCUAACUACGUG